GACGAACGCUGGCGGCGUGCUUAAUACAUGCAAGUCGAACGGAAAGGCCCUGCUUUUGUGGGGUGCUCGAGUGGCGAACGGGUGAGUAACACGUGAGUAACCUGCCCUUGACUUUGGGAUAACUUCAGGAAACUGGGGCUAAUACCGGAUAGGAGCUCCUGCUGCAUGGUGGGGGUUGGAAAGUUUCGGCGGUUGGGGCUGGACUCGCGGCUUAUCAGCUUGUUGGUGGGGUAGUGGCUUACCAAGGCUUUGACGGGUAGCCGGCCUGAGAGGGUGACCGGCCACAUUGGGACUGAGAUACGGCCCAGACUCCUACGGGAGGCAGCAGUGGGGAAUAUUGCACAGUGGGCGGAAGCCUGAUGCAGCAACGCCGCGUGCGGGAUGACGGCCUUCGGGUUGUAAACCGCUUUCGCCUGUGACGAAGCGUGAGUGACGGUAAUGGGUAAAGAAGCACCGGCUAACUACGUG
RNAcentral lists this ribosomal RNA (468 nucleotides) under uncultured bacterium. RNAcentral describes it as "partial 16S ribosomal RNA". It matches the Rfam family "Bacterial small subunit ribosomal RNA", at positions 28 to 507 of the family's 1533-position model. The record is from RNAcentral.